GAUGAACGCUGGCGGCGUGCCUAAUACAUGCCAGUCGAGCGAACAGACGAGGAGCUUGCUCCUCUGACGUUAGCGGCGGACGGGUUAGUAACACGUGGAUAACCUACCUAUAAGACUGGGAUAACUUCGGGAAACCGGAGCUAAUACCGGAUAAUAUAUUGAACCGCAUGGUUCAAUAGUGAAAGACGGUUUUGCUGUCACUUAUAGAUGGAUCCGCGCCGCAUUAGCUAGUUGGUAAGGUAACGGCUUACCAAGGCGACGAUGCGUAGCCGACCUGAGAGGGUGAUCGGCCACACUGGAACUGAGACACGGUCCAGACUCCUACGGGAGGCAGCAGUAGGGAAUCUUCCGCAAUGGGCGAAAGCCUGACGGAGCAACGCCGCGUGAGUGAUGAAGGUCUUCGGAUCGUAAAACUCUGUUAUUAGGGAAGAACAAAUGUGUAAGUAACUAUGCACGUCUUGACGGUACCUAAUCAGAAAGCCACGGCUAACUACGUG
Molecule: ribosomal RNA, 497 nt
Filed under: uncultured bacterium
Lineage: Bacteria
Description: partial 16S ribosomal RNA
Rfam family: Bacterial small subunit ribosomal RNA
Source: RNAcentral